UAGCGUUGCUCGGAAAUGACUGGGCGUAAAGGGCGCGUAGGCGGUUUGGACAGUCAGAUGUGAAAUCCCCGGGCUUAACCUGGGAACUGCAUUUGAUACGUCCAGACUAGAGUUCGAGAGAGGGUUGUGGAAUUCCCAGUGUAGAGGUGAAAUUCGUAGAUAUUGGGAAGAACACCGGUGGCGAAGGCGGCAACCUGGCUCGAUACUGACGCUGAGGCGACGAAAGCGGUGGGGAGAC
Molecule: ribosomal RNA, 238 nt
Filed under: uncultured bacterium
Lineage: Bacteria
Description: partial 16S ribosomal RNA
Rfam family: Bacterial small subunit ribosomal RNA
Source: RNAcentral